GCACUCGUAGCUCAGUUGGAUAGAGCAAUUGCCUUCUAAGCAAUGGGUCACAGGUUCGAAUCCUGUCGAGUGUGCCA
This 77-nucleotide transfer RNA is filed under the name Promethearchaeota archaeon. RNAcentral's name for it is "Candidatus Lokiarchaeota archaeon (marine sediment metagenome) tRNA-Arg". It matches the Rfam family "tRNA". From Rfam's summary of the family: Transfer RNA (tRNA) molecules are approximately 80 nucleotides in length. Their secondary structure includes four short double-helical elements and three loops (D, anti-codon, and T loops). Lineage: Archaea; Promethearchaeati; Promethearchaeota. The record is from RNAcentral.